RNAcentral lists this microRNA (22 nucleotides) under Panagrellus redivivus. RNAcentral describes it as "prd-let-7-3p". Its record names the gene prd-let-7-3p. Lineage: Eukaryota; Metazoa; Nematoda; Chromadorea; Rhabditida; Panagrolaimidae. The record is from miRBase by way of RNAcentral.
ACUGUCAAUCUACUAACUUAAC